AUUGAACGCUGGCGGCAGGCCUAACACAUGCAAGUCGAACGGUAGCACAGAGAGCUUGCUCUCGGGUGACGAGUGGCGGACGGGUGAGUAAUGUCUGGGAAACUGCCCGAUGGAGGGGGAUAACUACUGGAAACGGUAGCUAAUACCGCAUAACGUCGCUAGACCAAAGUGGGGGACCUUCGGGCCUCACACCAUCGGAUGUGCCCAGAUGGGAUUAGCAAGUAGGUGGGGUAAUGGCUCACCUAGGCGACGAUCCCUAGCUGGUCUGAGAGGAUGACCAGCCACACUGGAACUGAGACACGGUCCAGACUCCUACGGGAGGCAGCAGUGGGGAAUAUUGCACAAUGGGCGCAAGCCUGAUGCAGCCAUGCCGCGUGUAUGAAGAAGGCCUUCGGGUUGUAAAGUACUUUCAGCGGGGAGGAAGGCGGUGAAGUUAAUAACUUCACCGAUUGACGUUACCCGCAGAAGAAGCACCGGCUAACUCCGUGCCAGCCGCCGCGGUAA
RNAcentral lists this ribosomal RNA (504 nucleotides) under uncultured bacterium. Its description in RNAcentral is "partial 16S ribosomal RNA". It matches the Rfam family "Bacterial small subunit ribosomal RNA", at positions 30 to 523 of the family's 1533-position model. The record is from RNAcentral.